UACGGAGGGCGCGAGCGUUAAUCGGAAUUACUGGGCGUAAAGCGCGCGUAGGCUGUUGUGUAAGUUGGGGGUGAAAUCCCACGGCUCAACCGUGGAACAGCCCUUGAUACUGCGCGACUUGAAUCCGGGAGAGGGUGGUGGAAUUCCAGGUGUAGGAGUGAAAUCCGUAGAUAUCUGGAGGAACAUCAGUGGCGAAGGCGGCCACCUGGACCGGUAUUGACGCUGAGGCGCGAAAGCGUGGGGAGCAAACAGG
This 253-nucleotide ribosomal RNA is filed under the name uncultured bacterium. Its description in RNAcentral is "partial 16S ribosomal RNA". It matches the Rfam family "Bacterial small subunit ribosomal RNA", at positions 524 to 776 of the family's 1533-position model. The record is from RNAcentral.